UUGGACCCCCGGUACACUGAGCUUCUUAACUGAGCACGUAUCGGAUCUAGGGUGCGCGAGCCACGGUCUUAUACC
This 75-nucleotide ribosomal RNA is filed under the name Exophiala sp. SL-2015c. Its description in RNAcentral is "partial large subunit ribosomal RNA". The record is from RNAcentral. Lineage: Eukaryota; Fungi; Ascomycota; Eurotiomycetes; Chaetothyriales; Herpotrichiellaceae.